AAACCCCUUUAUUAUCAAUAAAGGGGGUGUGGGGGAAGGUAAGGAAAGGCUCUUCCAGUUCUCCCAGGACUUGGCUCUGCUCAUGGUUUACCUCUGAUAUCGCUAGCUGGAGAUCCAGUAUGCAGAUAUUCACAAAGCAACACUUGUUUCGGACGACUUCGUUGAACAUGAAAAUUUCCUAGGUACACAAAUCUCACAGGAGCUGCAGAAGGCGCAGAAAAGGAAAACACUGGAGAAAAUAUCAGUAGGCCGGUGUAAUCGAAGUGCUCCCCUUUUGCUGGAACACUGCAGAGAUGCCUGAGGUCCGGGACCUUUCAGAGGCCUUGCCAGAGAUGUCUAUGGAUCCAAUCACUGGAGUUGGAGUGGUGGCUUCCAGGAACAGGGCCCCAUCUGGAUAUGAUGUGAUAUCUAUAACAACAGAUGGCCUAGAUGCAGACUUGUGGAAAGAUGGCCUUUUCAAAUCCAAGGUGACCCGUUAUCUGUGUUUCACCAGAGUUUUCUCUAAAGAAAAUGUAAGUCAGCUUCCUUUAUCAAUAAACACAAAGAAAAUAUUUAGCAUGUAUGAGCACUUUUAAUCUGUCUCUCAAAUCAGAAGAGUAACAGAGUUUUCAAUGUCUAUGGCAA
Long non-coding RNA from Poecilia latipinna (sailfin molly), 624 nucleotides. RefSeq lists it as uncharacterized. Lineage: Eukaryota; Metazoa; Chordata; Actinopteri; Cyprinodontiformes; Poeciliidae. The transcript has 3 exons. The record is from RefSeq and is a predicted model, not a curated record.